GAUGAACGCUGGCGGCGUGCCUAAUACAUGCAAGUCGAGCGAACAGACGAGGAGCUUGCUCCUCUGACGUUAGCGGCGGACGGGUGAGUAACACGUGGAUAACCUACCUAUAAGACUGGGAUAACUUCGGGAAACCGGAGCUAAUACCGGAUAAUAUAUUGAACCGCAUGGUUCAAUAGUGAAAGACGGUUUUGCUGUCACUUAUAGAUGGAUCCGCGCCGCAUUAGCUAGUUGGUAAGGUAACAGCUUACCAAGGCAACGAUGCGUAGCCGACCUGAGAGGGUGAUCGGCCACACCGGAACUGAGACACGGUCCAGACUCCUACGGGAGGCAGCAGUAGGGAAUCUUCCGCAAUGGGCGAAAGCCUGACGGAGCAACGCCGCGUGAGUGAUGAAGGUCUUCGGAUCGUAAAACUCUGUUAUUAGGGAAGAACAAAUGUGUAAGUAACUAUGCACGCCUUGACGGUACCUAAUCAGAAAGCCACGGCUAACUACGUG
Molecule: ribosomal RNA, 497 nt
Filed under: uncultured bacterium
Lineage: Bacteria
Description: partial 16S ribosomal RNA
Rfam family: Bacterial small subunit ribosomal RNA
Source: RNAcentral